This 659-nucleotide long non-coding RNA is filed under the name Mus musculus (house mouse). RNAcentral describes it as "predicted gene 8817, transcript variant 2 (Gm8817)". The record is from RNAcentral. Lineage: Eukaryota; Metazoa; Chordata; Mammalia; Rodentia; Muridae.
CCUGGCUCUAAGUUCCUGCCCUGUGUGAGUUCCAGGCCUGACUUCCUUUGGUGAUGAACAGCAGUGUGGAAAUGUCAGUGGACCCUCAGCUUCUAUUUAGUCAGUCUCCAAGGACUGACUAGAUUCACCUCAAGACUUUGGAAAUAUCUCCACCAUCUGCUUGUGAUCCUCCAUGGCUGUCAGUGCCCCCUAAGCCUCUUGUUAUAAAUCACCAGGAUCUCACUUUCCAGGAGACUCCACUGUAUUCAUGCUGUUUUCACACACAAUUAUUCCCAGAUAGCAGAGAGAGGAGGCUCAGGAGGAAGACCCAUGGGAUAAGAGACAUUUUAGGACACUGAGGAAACGUAACUUGAGCUCUUGAACUCAUUGAUGAGGACCAAAAGAAAUGAAUGAGCACCAGCAGAUGCUUUGGAAUACUGUGGAACGAUGGAUACCUGUCUAAUAUUGCCAAAGAGUUGGUUUCUGAGAUCCUAUGAGAAACAGCAGUCAUCAUUAGAACUGCCUGAAUGUUCUCUGGAAGGAGGAAUGGGAGGCUGGCCAAUCUAACAGGUUUUUUGAAAUAAGAUCACCACAUUAGUGGGCUAGUGAUAUGGGAACAUCAAGGAGCCCACAGUAAAAAAAAAUGUAUUUACGACAAAUACAAUUUGAAGAUCCUCCAA